This 398-nucleotide ribosomal RNA is filed under the name Bruchus cf. obscurus GJK-2010. RNAcentral's name for it is "partial 12S ribosomal RNA". Lineage: Eukaryota; Metazoa; Arthropoda; Insecta; Coleoptera; Chrysomelidae. The record is from RNAcentral.
UAAACUAGGAUUAGAUACCCUAUUAUUAUAAAUGUUCAUUUUUAUACUAAAUUAUUAAUAGUUAUGUUCUUUAAAAUUAAAAAAUUUGGCGGUAUUUUAGUCUUUUCAGAGGAACCUGUCCUGUAAUUGAUAGUCCACGAUUAGGGAUACUUUAUUUAUUAAUUUACAUAUCGUCGUAGUUUGAAUAUUUUAUUAGAAUUAUAAUAUUCAAGAUUUUAUUUUAGAAAAUAUAUCAGAUCAAGGUGUAGUUUAUAAUAAAGAAGAGGUGGGUUACAAUAAAUUUAUUUUUGAAAAAAUUUUUUGAAAAAAUUUUGAAUUUGGAUUUGAAAGUAAUUUUUUGAGUUUUACUAAAAAUGAUUAUAGCUCUAAAAUAUGUACACAUCGCCCGUCGCUCUUAA